CCUACGGGAGGUAGCAGUGAGGAAUAUUGGUCAAUGGACGCAAGUCUGAACCAGCCAUGCCGCGUGCAGGAAGACGGCUCUAUGAGUUGUAAACUUCUUUUGUACGAGGGUAAACGCAGAUACGCGUAUCUGUCUGAAAGUAUCGUACGAAUAAGGAUCGGCUAACUCCGUGCCAGCAGCCGCGGUAAUACGGAGGAUUCAAGCGUUAUCCGGAUUUAUUGGGUUUAAAGGGUGCGUAGGCGGUCGGAUAAGUUAGAGGUGAAAUCCCGAGGCUCAACUUCGGAAUUGCCUCUGAUACUGUUAGGCUAGAGAGUAGUUGAGGUAGGCGGAAUGUAUGGUGUAGCGGUGAAAUGCUUAGAGAUCAUACAGAACACCGAUUGCGAAGGCAGCUUACCAAGCUACUUCUGACGUUGAGGCACGAAAGCGUGGGGAGCAAACAGGAUUAGAUACCCUUGUAGUC
RNAcentral lists this ribosomal RNA (460 nucleotides) under uncultured bacterium. RNAcentral's name for it is "partial 16S ribosomal RNA". It matches the Rfam family "Bacterial small subunit ribosomal RNA", at positions 338 to 795 of the family's 1533-position model. The record is from RNAcentral.